RNAcentral lists this ribosomal RNA (496 nucleotides) under uncultured bacterium. RNAcentral's name for it is "partial 16S ribosomal RNA". It matches the Rfam family "Bacterial small subunit ribosomal RNA", at positions 29 to 507 of the family's 1533-position model. The record is from RNAcentral.
AUGAACGCUGGCGGCGUGCCUAAUACAUGCAAGUCGAGCGAACAGACGAGGAGCUUGCUCCUCUGACGUUAGCGGCGGACGGGUGAGUAACACGUGGAUAACCUACCUAUAAGACUGGGAUAACUUCGGGAAACCGGAGCUAAUACCGGAUAAUAUAUUGAACCGCAUGGUUCAAUAGUGAAAGACGGUUUUGCUGUCACUUAUAGAUGGAUCCGCGCCGCAUUAGCUAGUUGGUAAGGUAACGGCUUACCAAGGCAACGAUGCGUAGCCGACCUGAGAGGGUGAUCGGCCACGCUGGAACUUAGACACGGUCCAGACUCCUACGGGAGGCAGCAGUAGGGAAUCUUCCGCAAUGGGCGAAAGCCUGACGGAGCAACGCCGCGUGGGUGAUGAAGGUCUUCGGAUCGUAAAACUCUGUUAUUAGGGAAGAACAAAUGUGUAAGUAACUAUGCACGUCUUGACGGUACCGAAUCAGAAAGCCACGGCUAACUACGUG